RNAcentral lists this non-coding RNA (30 nucleotides) under Mus musculus (house mouse). The record is from RNAcentral. Lineage: Eukaryota; Metazoa; Chordata; Mammalia; Rodentia; Muridae.
UAGCAGCUUAAACAUAUAGUGUUAUCUCUG